This 253-nucleotide ribosomal RNA is filed under the name uncultured bacterium. RNAcentral describes it as "partial 16S ribosomal RNA". It matches the Rfam family "Bacterial small subunit ribosomal RNA", at positions 524 to 776 of the family's 1533-position model. The record is from RNAcentral.
UACGGGGGGGGCAAGCGUUGUUCGGAAUUACUGGGCGUAAAGGGCCAGUAGGCGGCCAACUAAGUCGGAUGUGAAAUCCCCAGGCUUAACCUGGGAACUGCAUCCGAUACUGGAUGGCUUGAAUUCGGGAGAGGGAUGCAGAAUUCCAGGUGUAGCGGUGAAAUGCGUAGAUAUCAGGAGGAACACCGGUGGCGAAGGCGGGUCUCUGGGCAACAACUGACGCUGAGGAGCGAAAGCGUGGGGAGCGAACAGG